AAUCGCAGAUCAGCAUGCUGCGGUGAAUACGUUCCGGGGCUUGUACACACCGCCCGUCAAACCAUGGGAGUUUGGAGCACCCGAAGUCAGUGGCCUAACCGAAAGGGAGGAGCUGCCGAAGGUGAGCCAGAUAACUGGGGUUAAGUCGUAACAAGGUAGC
Molecule: ribosomal RNA, 160 nt
Filed under: uncultured bacterium
Lineage: Bacteria
Description: partial 16S ribosomal RNA
Rfam family: Bacterial small subunit ribosomal RNA
Source: RNAcentral